UUUCUUUGAUGAAGUUUCGGCAGAUUCGUUGAAAGAAUAGUGGCGAACGGGUGAGCAAUGCAUGAGCAAUCUGCCCUAAAGACCGGGAUAAGCUUUCGAAAGGAAGUUUAAUACCGGAUAAUAAGAUCAGAUCGCAUGAUUUGAUUUUCAAAGGUAGCUUUUUAAGCCUCUGCUUUUGGAUGAGCUCAUGUCCUAUCAGCUAGCUGGUGAGAUAAAGGCUCACCAAAGCUAAGACGGGUAGCCGGUCUGAGAGGACGGUCGGCCACACUGGGACUGAGACACGGCCCAGACUCCUACGGGAGGCAGCAGUAGGGAAUCUUGCGCAAUGGGCGAAAGCCUGACGCAGCGACACCGCGUGGAGGAUGAAGGUUUUCGAAUCGUAAACUCCUGUCAAUAGAGGAAGAAGGUAUUAUAGGUGAAUAGCUUAUAAUAUUGACGGUACUCUGUAAGGAAGCCCCGGCUAACUACGUGCCAGCAGCCGCGGUAAUACGUAGGGGGCAAGCGUUUUCCGGAUUUAUUGGGCGUAAAGCGCACGCAGGUGGCUUUUUAAGUCGGAUGUGAAAUCUCUUAGCAAAACUAAGAAAUUGCAUCCGAAACUGGAUUGCUUGAGGUCGGGAGAGGAGAGUGGGAUUCUCGGUGUAGCGGUGAAAUGCGCAGAUAUCGAGAAGAACACCAUUAGCGAAGGCGGCUCUCUGGAACGAUACUGACACUAAGGUGCGAAAGCUAGGGUAGCAAGCAGGAUUAGAUACCCUGGUAGUCCUAGCUGUAAACGAUGGGCACUGGAUGUAGGGAGAUAUCGACUCUUCCUGUGUCGUAGCUAACGCGUUAAGUGCCCCGCCUGGGGAGUACGACCGCAAGGUUAAAACUCAAAUGAAUUGACGG
RNAcentral lists this ribosomal RNA (882 nucleotides) under uncultured bacterium. Its description in RNAcentral is "bacterial SSU rRNA". It matches the Rfam family "Bacterial small subunit ribosomal RNA", at positions 68 to 916 of the family's 1533-position model. The record is from RNAcentral.